AGCAGCCGCGGUAAUUCCAGCUCCAAUAGCGUAUAUUAAAGUUGUUGCAGUUAAAAAGCUCGUAGUUGAAUUUCGGGGUCAGUAGGUUGGUCGUGCCACUGGUAUGUACUGGUCUUACUGGCUCCUCCCUCCUGAUGAACCGUAAUGCCAUUAAUUUGGUGUUGCGGGGAGACUGGACUGUUACUUUGAAAAAAUUAGAGUGUUUAAAGCAGGCUAACGCUUGAAUACAUUAGCAUGGAAUAAUGAAAUAGGACGUUCGAUCUUAUUUUGUUGGUUUCUAGGACCGCUGUA
RNAcentral lists this ribosomal RNA (291 nucleotides) under uncultured Glomeraceae. RNAcentral describes it as "partial small subunit ribosomal RNA". It matches the Rfam family "Eukaryotic small subunit ribosomal RNA", at positions 569 to 864 of the family's 1831-position model. The record is from RNAcentral. Lineage: Eukaryota; Fungi; Glomeromycota; Glomeromycetes; Glomerales; Glomeraceae.